ACUAUAGCUUGACACUGAACACUGGUCCUUGAUGUGUAGGAUAGGUGGGAGGCUUUGAAGCGUGGACGCCAGUCUGCGUGGAGCCGACCUUGAAAUACCACCCUUUAAUGGCUGGUGUUCUAACGUAGACCCGUGAUCCGGGUUGCGGACAGUGUCUGGUGGGUAGUUUGACUGGGGCGGUCUCCUCCCAAAGAGUAACGGAGGAGCACGAAGGUUAGCU
RNAcentral lists this ribosomal RNA (220 nucleotides) under Enterobacter asburiae. RNAcentral describes it as "partial 23S ribosomal RNA". It matches the Rfam family "Bacterial large subunit ribosomal RNA", at positions 2103 to 2322 of the family's 2925-position model. The record is from RNAcentral. Lineage: Bacteria; Pseudomonadati; Pseudomonadota; Gammaproteobacteria; Enterobacterales; Enterobacteriaceae.